UACAGAGGUCCCAAGCGUUGUUCGGAUUCACUGGGCGUAAAGGGUGCGUAGGUGGUGAGGUAAGUCGGAUGUGAAAUCUCCAGGCUCAACCUGGAAAUGGCAUCGGAAACUACCUCGCUGGAGGUUUGGAGGGGGGACUGGAAUUCUCGGUGUAGCAGUGAAAUGCGUAGAUAUCGAGAGGAACACCAGUGGCGAAGGCGAGUCCCUGGACAACACCUGACACUGAGGCACGAAAGCUAGGGGAGCAAACAGG
Molecule: ribosomal RNA, 253 nt
Filed under: uncultured bacterium
Lineage: Bacteria
Description: partial 16S ribosomal RNA
Rfam family: Bacterial small subunit ribosomal RNA
Source: RNAcentral